AUACGUAGGGGGCAAGCGUUGUCCGGAAUGAUUGGGCGUAAAGGGCGCGUAGGCGGCGCGGUAAGUCUGGAGUGAAAGUCCUGCUUUCAAGGUGGGAAUUGCUUUGGAUACUUCCGCGCUUGAGUGCUGGAGAGGAAAGCGGAAUUCCUAGUGUAGCGGUGAAAUGCGUAGAUAUUAGGAGGAACACCAGUGGCGAAGGCGGCUUUCUGGACAGUAACUGACGCUGAGGCGCGAAAGCGUGGGUAGCGAACAGGAUUAGAUACCCUGGUAGUCCACGCCGUAAACGAUGGAUACUAGGUGUAGGAGGUAUCGACCCCUUCUGUGCCGGAGUUAACACAAUAAGUAUCCCACCUGGGGAGUACGGCCGCAAGGUUGAAACUCAAAGGAAUUGGCGGGG
This 397-nucleotide ribosomal RNA is filed under the name uncultured bacterium. RNAcentral's name for it is "partial 16S ribosomal RNA". It matches the Rfam family "Bacterial small subunit ribosomal RNA", at positions 523 to 918 of the family's 1533-position model. The record is from RNAcentral.